RNAcentral lists this ribosomal RNA (391 nucleotides) under uncultured bacterium. RNAcentral's name for it is "bacterial SSU rRNA". It matches the Rfam family "Bacterial small subunit ribosomal RNA", at positions 28 to 419 of the family's 1533-position model. The record is from RNAcentral.
GACGAACGCUGGCGGCGUGCUUAACACAUGCAAGUCGAGCGGUAAGGCCCUUUCGGGGGUACACGAGCGGCGAACGGGUGAGUAACACGUGGGUGACCUGCCCUUAGCUCUGGGAUAAGCCUGGGAAACUGGGUCUAAUACCGGAUAUGACUCCAUGACGCAUGUUGUGGGGUGGAAAGCCUUGUGCGGCUAGGGAUGGGCCCGCGGCCUAUCAGCUUGUUGGUGGGGUGAUGGCCUACCAAGGCGACGACGGGUAGCCGGCCUGAGAGGGCGACCGGCCACACUGGGACUGAGACACGGCCCAGACUCCUACGGGAGGGCAGCAGUGGGGAAUCUUGCGCAAUGGGCGAAAGCCUGACGCAGCGACGCCGCGUGAGGGAUGACGGCCUGG